Molecule: long non-coding RNA, 1372 nt
Filed under: Lupinus angustifolius (narrow-leaved blue lupine)
Lineage: Eukaryota; Viridiplantae; Streptophyta; Magnoliopsida; Fabales; Fabaceae
Description: long non-coding RNA (LANG_LNC002136)
Source: RNAcentral
AGGAACUAGUGAUGGUAAGUUCUAGAAAAAAGAUUGCAAGCAUUUGCAUAAAGGGGGAUAGAUUAAUUGAAGGGAAAGACAGGGAAAACGAUAACCUAGAAACCAAAUCUAGUGCUGGAUUAAAUAACAAAAACAGGACUACUAAAGAAAGUAAUACUGGCAGAGAGAUGCAUGAAGAAAGUAAAACUGGCAGAGUGAUGCAUGGGUGGAGAAGUAAUGAACGCAUGCGUGAUAAUUCUGAGUAUGACGUCGGAAAUAAGCACUCAAAAGAUUCAGUUAAUAAGGAUAGAUAUGCGGAAACAAAUAGGCCAAAAUAUGAAAGGAAAAUACAAAAAAAGAACCAGAUUGCAGAUGAUGAAAGUCCUAACAAGUAUCCUGCUGAAAGGAAGCAUGUCAAAGAUAGUCAUGAUAGGGGGAAAAGGAAAAAGUGGUCAAGCAAUGAUUCUAAAGAAGUAGCAGAAAAAAAGAAUCAUAUAGAUUCAGCUGAUAAGCAUAGGCAUACAGAGGAUAGUAGAGGAAAAUAUGAAAGAGAAAUCAAAGAAAAAUAUCGAAAUGGAGAUGAUAAAACUCAAGACAGGAAUGCUGCAAGGAAAAAAGAUAUCAUGAAACGUCAUAACUCAGGGAAUUAUGAGAUAAAAGAGAGGAGGGAAAAAAUGAGGUCACAUUUUGAAGAAUCAACAAAAAAGAGGAGAAGGUCUAGAAGCCAAGAGCGUGUGGAUAGAAGACGAAGGUCACAGUCUUUUUCACCAAGGGCACAGAAGCAUUCUUCUUAUAACGAAGAGCAUAAUGAGUUGUCUGUGCUUUCUCAGAAAGAUACUUCAGGAAAAAAGCAUUCUGACAUUGAAAGAAGUAGAGUAUCAACUAAUGAUUCAAAUGAUGACCAUCAUCGACAUGGUGGGUCUACAAGUAGACUUGGCGGCUAUUCACCUAGGAAGAGGAAAAGUGAGGCUGCUGUUAAGACUCCUUCCCCAUCUAAGAAUUCCAUGGAGAAGAAAAGAGUUGGAUGGGAUCUUCCCCCUGUAGGGACAGAUAAUCCCGCUUCAGCUUUUAUUUCUUCUAGUUUUCAAUUAUCAAAUCACACCGUGUUAUCCAACAUGCGGGAAAACGAUAACCUAGAAACCAAAUCUAGUGCUGGAUUAAAUAACAAAAACAGGACUACUAAAGAAAGUAAUACUGGCAGAGAGAUGCAUGAAGAAAGUAAAACUGGCAGAGUGAUGCAUGGGUGGAGAAGUAAUGAACGCAUGCGUGAUAAUUCUGAGUAUGACGUCGGAAAUAAGCACUCAAAAGAUUCAGUUAAUAAGGAUAGAUAUGCGGAAACAAAUAGGCCAAAAUAUGAAAGGAAAAUACAAAAAAAGAACCAGAUUGCAGAUGA